GACGAACGUUGGCGGCGUGCUUAAUACAUGCAAGUCAACUGAAGCAGAGGUAGUAAUAUCUCUGUGGAGGUGGCGCACGGGUGAGUAACACGUAGGUAAUCUGCCUUCAGGUCUGACAUAACCCCGAGAAAUCGGGGCUAAUAGCAGAUGAUGCAGCGGCUUGCCAUCAAGACAGUUGUUAAAGCUUCGGCGCCUGAAGAUGAGCCUGCGUCUGAUUAGCUAGUUGGCGGAGUAACAGCCCACCAAGGCUACGAUCAGUAGCUGGUCUGAGAGGAUGAUCAGCCACACUGGAACUGAGACACGGUCCAGACUCCUACGGGAGCAGCAGUAAGGAAUAUUGCUCAAUGGGAGAAAUCCUGAAGCAGCAACGCCGCGUGAGGGAGUGAAGGGUCUUUUGUCUUGUUAAACCUCUGUAGUGAAGAAGAAAAAA
This 430-nucleotide ribosomal RNA is filed under the name uncultured bacterium. RNAcentral's name for it is "bacterial SSU rRNA". It matches the Rfam family "Bacterial small subunit ribosomal RNA", at positions 28 to 452 of the family's 1533-position model. The record is from RNAcentral.